GUAGAAUAGUAGAGUAGGAAUUGCAUACAAAUUGCAUGGCCUCUAAUUUUUUUCUUAUUUAAACCUUCCCCUCUUUAUUUUCCAAAAGCAACUUAUUUCACUGCAAGAAGUUAAAUUGUUUUUUUUCAACAUUUUUUUUAGGUGAGUACCCAGAAUAUGAAGAUGGGUGGACUGCCACGUACAACACCUCCAACUCAGAAGCCCCCAAGUCCCCCUAUGUCAGGGAAGGGGACACUUGGGCGGCACUCCCCCUAUCGAACACUGGAGCCAGUGCGUCCUCCAGUGGUACCAAAUGAUUACGUACCUAGCCCAACCCGUAAUAUGGCUCCCUCGCAGCAGAGCCCUGUGAGGACAGCUUCUGUGAAUCAAAGAAAUCGAACUUACAGCAGCAGUGGGAGCAGUGGAGGAAGCCACCCAAGUAGUCGGAGCAGCAGUCGGGAGAACA
Molecule: long non-coding RNA, 445 nt
Filed under: Rattus norvegicus (Norway rat)
Lineage: Eukaryota; Metazoa; Chordata; Mammalia; Rodentia; Muridae
Description: long non-coding RNA NONRATT029441
Source: RNAcentral